CAGAAAUAGUGCAUCUUGUGUUCUGUUUCAGCGUUCAGACAAAACUUGCCCACCCUGCACGCCAAAUGGGUUUUCUGGAAAUUAAACUUUAUCCUUCUCCUUGGGUCUUGUUUCAUUCCUCCCUAUCAAUGAUCGUGAAUUUCUUUUCUGUUAAAUCAGAGGUGUCUGUUUACUUCUUCUGAAUUUAAAGGUCAUGAAAGCCUUUUCGGAAUCAUUUGUUCGCCCAAUCUGGGGCCUUCCCAAGAUCUUAAGGUGUUGCAAUGAAAACAGUUCCAAAUAUAUUUUUGAGAUGGAAGACAAUCUUGAUUCCUUAAAAGAUGCAGUGGAGCAGCUGAAGAAUAAGAAGGAAGACAUAAAGUUGAGGGUGAAGCGUGAAGAGAGCUCAUACAAGGAGUGCAUCUAUAAAGUAACUGAUUGGCUUUACAGGGCAGACUGCUUGGAAGCACAAGCCAACAAAAUUAUCGCAGAAGGUGAAGAAGAACUUCAGAAGAGAAGGCAUGGAUGUUGCAGUUCCCAAAACUUGAGCUGUGAAGUGGGGAACAAAGUUUGUGAAGUGCUCAAAGCUGUCCAAAAAAGUCUGAUUGAAGGUAAUUUUGAUGUUGUGGUGAAGAGAACGCCUCUUGAUGUUGUAGAUGUGAUUCAUGUGGAGACGACUGUGGAUUUUGAAUCCAAAUUGGACGAUGUUUGGAGAUGCCUCUAUGACGAAAGUCUCAGAAUUAUCGGAAUAUAUGGAAUGCCUGGUGUAGGUAAAUCUACUCUUUUAAAAAAAGUCAGAGAUGAGCUUGUUGGAACUCACAAUUCUACAGCAGUGAUUUGGGUUGACGUAUCCAAAGAAGCAUGUCUGGACACCAUCCAGAAUGCUAUUCGCAACCAGUUAGGGAUACCCGAUGAAACAUGGAAAAAUACAGACAAGGGAAGUAGAGCUGCAGAGAUAUCAAGGUUGUUAGACAGCAGAAAGUUCAUAUUGAUUUUAGAUGAUUUAUGGGAUAGAUUGGAUCUCUCAAAUGUUGGGGUUCCUCAAUCUAAUAGGUCCAAAAUAGUGUUCACAACUAGAUCAGAAGGAGUUUGUGAUGACAUGAAUGCUCAGAUAAAAUUGAAAUUGAAGUGUAUGUCGCAGGAAGAAGCAAUGAGAUUGUUCUGGAUGGAGGUUGGUGAGGAAACUAGAAAUUCUCGUGCCCAAUUUGAAUAUGUUGUUGAGACGCUUAACAAAGAAGUUUGUCAAGGUUUACCACUCGCUCUCAUUGUUAUUAGUCAAGUAUUGGCUGGGAUGAGGGAUCCUGAGGAGUGGGAGCAUGCAAUAAGCAAAUUGCAAAAUCACCCAUCAAAGCUGCCAGGUAUGGAUCAUAUUUUUCAUAUUUUUGAGCCCAGUUAUGAUAGAUUAGAGGAUGCUAUUAUCAAAGAUUGUUUCCUGUAUAAUUCUAUACUACCGGGUGAGAUUAGAAAAGAUGAACUUAUUAAUUUAUGGAUUGGAGAAGGGUUUUUGGAUAUGUCUACUAAGUAUUUGGGAGAAUAUAUUAUCAAAAGAUUAGAGCUAUCAUGCCUUUUGGAGAGUGAUGAAUUAAAUGAUUCUGUUAGGAUGCAUGGUGUUUCUCGUGUUUUUGGCUUGUGGUUAGCUCGUGAAUAUGGGAAAAAGGACAAUAAGAUUUUGUUACAAGAACGAGAUUCUACAAAAUGGAUUGAGGCUGUGAGAAUAUCAAUAGAUGGGCAGAUUGACGUGGAACCUCCUCCAACUCCUUGUUUGCAAGUCCAGACUUUGCUUAUUAGGGAUACCAACUUGAGCGUAUUUCCGACCUGGAUUUUGCAUUCGAAAAAAGCUUUGACAGUUUUAGACUUGUCAAAAAAUAUCUGGUUAGCUGAGUUACCUGAUAGCAUUGGUGCAUUAAUUAACUUGCAUUAUAUUAACCUCUCUUUUACAAGCAUAAAGGAACUGCCAAUUGAAGUAAAGAAUUUGAAAAAUCUGAAAGUUUUGCUUUUGGAUUAUACUAAAAGGUUUCAAAUUAUACCCAAGGGAGUGAUAUCAAGUUUUCCAUCAUUGCAAUUGUUCAGCAAGUUAGAUAAUGAAAGCUUUGAUGACACGACCUUAUUGGAGGAGUUGAAAUGCAGUGAUUGCGUGAAUGACAUAAAUGUAAGCCUAUUCAGUGAUCAAGCUGUUGAAAGGCUGUUGAAUUCUCAAAAAUUACUAAAUUGCAUUAGAAAUCUAUCACUUAGAGAAAUAAAGAGUCUCAACAUAUCAGUUUCAGUUCUAUCAAGAAUGGUGCAUCUGGAGGAGCUAAUUAUAGAAGAUUGUGAAUGUUUACAUUUUGAAAGUGACAAUGACCAGUACUACGUCUUGAACAUUCGUGGUCUACGGAUACAGGGUUGUUCCACAAUAGAUGAUUUGACAUGGCUUAUUUUUGCUCCAAGGCUUAAAACUCUUGAUUUGCGUAGUUGUAGAUCAUUACUUCAAGUUAUAGGCAAUGAUUUCAAAAGUGAAGAAAUCAAAGAACUUGACCAACGUUUGGGCAUAUUCUCAAAUUUGAAGAAAUUAUAUUUGGGAGAUCUACCAAGUCUGCGGUGCAUCUGUGCUCAAGUCUUGCACUUUCCAAUCCUUGAGGUUAUGCUUGUUAUUGAUUGCCCGAAUUUACUGAACCUGCCGUUUGAUCUACAUAGUGCAAGGAGGUUGAGGGAAAUAAAAGGAACUAGAAGCUGGUGGAACCAAUUGCACUGGAAAAAUACGGCGGCCAGAGAUGCUUUCGCUUUGAAAUUCCAAGAUGGCUUUGAAGCCGACCGAUUUCAGGAAAUCCGUUACUCCAGGACUGCUCCUCCGCUUACGGACCAACAAGAGGUGAUGGGGCCUCCUACUAGAGGGGAAGAUCCAAAAUAUGGUGGUAAAGGUGGAUAUGAUGCGAGUGGAUCUGGCAGAGUCUCGACUGUCACAGUGCCUUCAACUCCUCGGACAAAGGGUGAGAUCUUGCAGUCCUCCAAUUUGAGGAGCUUUAGCUUUAGUGAGCUAAAGGCAGCAACUAGGAACUUCCGUCCGGAUUGUGUUUUGGGUGAAGGAGGAUUUGGUUGUG
RNAcentral lists this unclassified non-coding RNA (3053 nucleotides) under Hevea brasiliensis (rubber tree). Lineage: Eukaryota; Viridiplantae; Streptophyta; Magnoliopsida; Malpighiales; Euphorbiaceae. The record is from RNAcentral.